Molecule: transfer RNA, 66 nt
Filed under: Anisocentropus maculatus
Lineage: Eukaryota; Metazoa; Arthropoda; Insecta; Trichoptera; Calamoceratidae
Description: tRNA-Gln
Source: RNAcentral
UAUAAUUAAGUGUUAUUGCACGAAAAUUUUUGAAAUUUUAAGUUUAGUUAAAUUCUAAAAUUAUAA